RNAcentral lists this ribosomal RNA (207 nucleotides) under uncultured bacterium. RNAcentral's name for it is "partial 16S ribosomal RNA". It matches the Rfam family "Bacterial small subunit ribosomal RNA", at positions 568 to 774 of the family's 1533-position model. The record is from RNAcentral.
CAUGUAGGCGGUCUGGUAAGCCUGACGUGAAAGGCUAUGGCUCAACCAUGGCAUGGCGUUGGGAACUGCUGGACUUGAGUCACGGAGAGGGAGCUGGAAUUCCAGGUGUAGGGGUGAAAUCUGUAGAUAUCUGGAAGAACACCAGUGGCGAAGGCGAGCUCCUGGCCGAUGACUGACGCUGAGGUGCGAAAGUGUGGGGAUCAAACA